GACGAACGCUGGCGGCGUGCUUAACACAUGCAAGUCGAGCGGUAAGGCCCUUCGGGGCACACGAGCGGCGAACGGGUGAGUAACACGUGGGUGACCUGCCUCUAGCUCUGGGAUAAGCCUGGGAAACUGGGUCUAAUACCGGAUAUGACUCCACGGCGCAUGUUGUGGGGUGGAAAGCCUUGUGUGGCUAGAGAUGGGCCCGCGGCCUAUCAGCUUGUUGGUGGGGGAUGGCCUACCAAGGCGACGACGGGUAGCCGGCCUGAGAGGGCGACCGGCCACACUGGGACUGAGACACGGCCCAGACUCCUACGGGAGGCAGCAGUGGGGAAUUGUUCGCAAUGGGCGCAAGCCUGACGACGCAACGCCGCGUGGAGGAUGAAGA
This 382-nucleotide ribosomal RNA is filed under the name uncultured bacterium. RNAcentral describes it as "bacterial SSU rRNA". It matches the Rfam family "Bacterial small subunit ribosomal RNA", at positions 28 to 414 of the family's 1533-position model. The record is from RNAcentral.